UGGGGAAUAUUGGACAAUGGGGGAAACCCUGAUCCAGCGACGCCGCGUGUGUGAAGAAGGCCUGCGGGUUGUAAAGCACUUUUAGUGGGGAUGAAAAGCCGAAGGCUAAUACCUUUCGGUCUUGACCUAACCUACAGAAUAAGCACCGGCUAACUUCGUGCCAGCAGCCGCGGUAAUACGAAGGGUGCAAGUGUUACUCGGAAUUACUGGGCGUAAAGCGUGCGUAGGUGGUUUGUUAAGUCUGAUGUGAAAGCCCUGGGCUCAACCUGGGAAUUGCAUUGGAUACUGGCAGGCUAGAGUGCGGUAGAGGGUAGUGGAAUUCCCGGUGUAGCAGUGAAAUGCGUAGAGAUCGGGAGGAACACCAGUGGCGAAGGCGACUACCUGGACCAGCACUGACACUGAGGCACGAAAGCGUGGGGAGCAAAC
This 426-nucleotide ribosomal RNA is filed under the name uncultured bacterium. RNAcentral describes it as "bacterial SSU rRNA". It matches the Rfam family "Bacterial small subunit ribosomal RNA", at positions 355 to 773 of the family's 1533-position model. The record is from RNAcentral.